AGUGUAGGUUCUAAUGAGAGAUAAACAAAGGAAAUAGUUGCUACACUGCUGCAUUCUAUUAGCCUAAGCUACAGUGGGAAAGAACGAUAUACACGAGAUAACCAAUCCAUUUUCUUACAUCACCUGUCCAGCUUGGUGACCCACUGCAGGGCUAAAAUUUCACUUUCACAUAUACGGUCAAUUUAUCAUCACCAGUUAGCCUAAUCUGGAUGUUUCUGGAAUGUUUGGGGAAGCCUGAGUACAUUGAGAAACAGAUAAAGUCUGCACAGAAAACCCAGAUCUGGUAUGAAAUCCAUUAUGGUGUUGCCGUGAAGUGACAACUGUAACUGCUGGGCCACCGUGAAGCACAAACAAUAUUAUUUUAAUAUUGGGAAGCAUUUUAGAUAGCUUAAAAAAUAAAAUAGGUUUUAGAUAUAAAGAAAUAUCAUGCACGCUGAUGUCAUCUUCAACAAAGAAGAAUGAUCCAGGUUCUUCUAUACAAAGUCAUAAUUCAACGUUAUACUCAUUGGCUCUGCAAUUAUGGGUACUGGAGCAGAAUUGGUGUUAGGAGAGAAAACACUGGGCUUGGGUAAGACCCUACCAUAUUCCCAAACAAAACAUUUUUGAAAGUUUGUGGUUCAUAAGAGUGAAAACAUUUUACAAAAAGACUUAAUUCAGCAACUAGGUGUGCACAAACCACUCAGCCAGACUAUCAAUCGUUCUCAUCUCUCAUGCACUUUAAGUAUUAAGAGCAUGAGUAUGAGAAAGCAGGAACCAAAAACCUCAUCAGAAACACUGUGUGGAUCAAACAGUCAAUCUAGAGGAGCUCCAUUUUUUCCAUGGAGAUUUUCAG
This is a long non-coding RNA of Thalassophryne amazonica, 832 nucleotides long. RefSeq lists it as uncharacterized. Lineage: Eukaryota; Metazoa; Chordata; Actinopteri; Batrachoidiformes; Batrachoididae. The record is from RefSeq and is a predicted model, not a curated record. The transcript is spliced from 3 exons.